CAGGAACAUACGUGUAUAUGGCACCGGAGGUAAUUCGGUGCGAGCCCUACGAUGAAAAAUGUGAUGUAUACAGUUUUGGGAUCAUUCUCAACGAGUUACUUACUGGAAACUACCCUUAUAUAGAGACACAACUUGGUCCCGCCAAGAUUGCUAUGGAAGUUGUGGAGGAUGAGCUAAGGCCUUUAGUUGCAUCAAAGGACGAUGGUGAGGAACUGGAAG
Molecule: small RNA, 219 nt
Filed under: Vigna angularis var. angularis
Lineage: Eukaryota; Viridiplantae; Streptophyta; Magnoliopsida; Fabales; Fabaceae
Description: Non-protein coding transcript
Source: RNAcentral